This 201-nucleotide ribosomal RNA is filed under the name uncultured bacterium. Its description in RNAcentral is "partial 16S ribosomal RNA". It matches the Rfam family "Bacterial small subunit ribosomal RNA", at positions 328 to 539 of the family's 1533-position model. The record is from RNAcentral.
ACGCUCGACACCUACGGGAGGCAGCAGUGGGGAAUAUUGCACAAUGGGGGAAACCCUGAUGCAGCAACGCCGCGUGAAGGAAGAAGGUUUCGGAUCGUAAACUUCUAUCAAUAGGGAAGAAAGAAAUGACGGUACCUAAAUAAGAACGCCCCGGCUAACUACGUGCCUGCAGCCGCGGUAAUCUGAGCGGGCUGGCAAGGC